GCUAGUAAUCGCGGAUCAACAUGCCGCGGUGAAUACGUUCCCGGGCCUUGUACACACCGCCCGUCACACCAUGAGAGUCGAUAACACCCGAAGCCUGUAGUCUAACAGCAAUGAGGACGCAGUCGAAGGUGGGAUUGAUAAUUAGGGUGAAGUCGUAACAAGGUAAC
Molecule: ribosomal RNA, 167 nt
Filed under: uncultured bacterium
Lineage: Bacteria
Description: partial 16S ribosomal RNA
Rfam family: Bacterial small subunit ribosomal RNA
Source: RNAcentral